This 483-nucleotide ribosomal RNA is filed under the name uncultured bacterium. RNAcentral describes it as "partial 16S ribosomal RNA". It matches the Rfam family "Bacterial small subunit ribosomal RNA", at positions 48 to 523 of the family's 1533-position model. The record is from RNAcentral.
CUAACACAUGCAAGUCGAGCGGCAGCGAGGUUAGUAGCAAUACUAACUGUCGGCGAGCGGCGGACGGGUGAGGAACACGUAGGAACCUGUCCUUAAGAGGGGGACAACCAAGGGACACUUUGGCUAAUACCGCAUAGACGCGAAAGAGGAAAGCUGCUCGCAAGGGUGGCACUUAAGGAGGGGCCUGCGUCCGAUUAGCCAGUUGGUAAGGUAAAGGCUUACCAAGGCGAUGAUCGGUAACUGGUCUGAGAGGACGACCAGUCACACUGGGACUGAGACACGGCCCAGACGCCUACGGGAGGCAGCAGUGGGGAAUAUUGGACAAUGGGGGCAACCCUGAUCCGGCGAUGCCGCGUGGGUGAAGAAGGCCUUCGGGUUGUAAAGCCCUUUAGGUUGGGAAGAAGGGUGUUGUAGGAAAUGACAACAUUUUGACGGUACCGACAGAAUAAGCACCGGCAAACUCUGUGCCAGCCGCCGCAGUAA